Molecule: transfer RNA, 63 nt
Filed under: Biomphalaria tenagophila
Lineage: Eukaryota; Metazoa; Mollusca; Gastropoda; Planorbidae
Description: tRNA-Cys
Source: RNAcentral
AAAAGACUAGUUUAUUUUAAAAUUUUUGAUUGCAAGUCAAAGGAUGAUUUUUUCGUUUUUUAA